This 5124-nucleotide long non-coding RNA is filed under the name Sus scrofa (pig). Its description in RNAcentral is "lncRNA (ENSSSCG00000060742.1)". Lineage: Eukaryota; Metazoa; Chordata; Mammalia; Artiodactyla; Suidae. The record is from RNAcentral.
GAAUCUAGGAAAACGUGCUACAGAACUGUCCCCAAAUCAAAGGCUUUUGGCUGCUGGCAGCCAGGCAUCAGCCAGACAGACGUUAAGGAAAGGGGACAUUGCAAAAAAAUAUCUCUAGUAGGAGGAAGUGGUUUGAGUUUCCUGCUUGAAAGAGGACACUUCAUUUAAAUAGAAUUAAGUAGAAUUUCAGGGAAUAGGGAAGUAUCCUGAGUCUACUGCUUGGACCUUGAAUUCUGCUUCUUGCAGAGAAGGAUUCAGAAAUGGCCUCCCGGGGAACCAGAGGGAGGUUUUUAGCAAAGACUCUCAACCCAGGAUGGGAAUGGAUGUGAGAGAAUAUACUUCUACCUGUUGGGCCCUGUUCUGUGCUGGACAUUUACCUCAGUUAGUCCUCUUGACAUUCUCCCCAAAUCCUGGUAGAAACUCAGGUGCUCAGAGGAGAAGCCAUUUACCACAGAAGACCCAGCCAGGCAGAUCCACUCCCCAGGCGGCUGCUGAUGCAGAGCUUUCUCCCAAAGCCAGCAGACGAUCCCUGCACCCUUUGGACCUCAAUCUAAGUGAGCUUCUUUCUCUUUUUUUUUAAGGGCUGCACCCCUGGCAUAUGAAAGUUCCCAGGCUAGGGAUUGAAUAGGAGCUGCAGCAGGCAGCUUGUGCCACAGCCACAGCAACGUGGGAUCUGAACUGUGUCUGUGCACAGCUCAUAGCAACACCUGAUCCUUAACCCACUAGGCUGGCCCAGGGAUCGAACCCACAUCCUCAUGGAUACUAGCUGGGUUUGUAACCUGCUGAGCCACAACAGGAACUCCCAUAAGUGAGCUUCUCUUACCUAUGUGCAGACAGUUACCAGGCCAGUCCCUUUCCCUGCUUUGCAAAGCUCAGCUUUGCCCAGCUCACCUCUUUCAACAGACCCUGGGGAGGUUAGACUAGGAGUCUGAGGAAAGGCCCUGGUUGCAUUCAGUUCUGUCUCCCUGGUACCCACCCAGGGGGCAGGGUAGAUGCUCUGGAAUAAGGGCUCCCAUGGGUGCCAGGAUCUUUCCUCAUAAUAAUAGCUCAUUUCAUUCUCACACCAAACCAGUGAGGUAGGUCUCAUCUUCCCCAUGUUUGGAGAUGGGAAAGCUGAGGCUCAAGAAGGGAAGUAAUUUUCUCAGUUGAUUGUAAUUUUUUAAAAUAAAGGUAUUCCCUGAGUCUGGUAUAGGUAAGAUGUUUUGGGACACUUGGGCAAGAAGUAUCAUAUGUAUUUGUCACUUGUCCCUAGGUAUCUCUGGGGGAUUUGUUCCAGGACUCUCAUGGAUAUCAAAAUCUGCAGAUGCCAAGUUCCUUAUACAAAAGGGUGUCGUGUUUGUGUAUAACCUACUCACAUCCUCCUGUCUACUUCUCCUAUGUAGAUAAUCAUCUCUAGAUUAUUUAAAUAGCUAAUGCAGUGUAAAUGCUAUGUAAAUAGUUGGAAAUGCAAUGUAAAUGCUAUGCAAAUAGUUGCCGGUAUACAGUAAAUUCAAGUUUUGCUUUUUGGAACUUUCUGGAAUCUUCCCCCUCCGCCCCCCGUAAGUUUUCGCGUGCUGCCAUUGGUUGGAUCUGUGGAACCCAGGGAUACGGAAAUCUGACUGCACUUCUAAUUCACAUCAGUCUGGAUUGCCACUGCCUCUCCCCCCCACGCCCUGCAUUUGGCAGGAAAUUUCAUCUCAGCUCUGUGAGGUAGAGGUUGCCCCAAGCCCUAGGGGUUUAUAAGGAAUGGAGUUUAGAGAAGAGUCUGUCUCUGGUCUUUAGCUCCAAGAUGCUCCAGCUACACAGGUGAUGUUAACGAAACUUCAGCUUCAGAGCCCUUCACCUGCACAGGCUCUUUCUGAGAGGGACUCUGGAAUGUGUCCCCCAGUCAGAUAUUAGAAAAUUUGCAAAAGUACGAUCCUUUGACUUCAGUGGGUGAAGAUGGCUGUCUUCAUCCACCCAUCAUCCCUCCUCUCCAUCACAUGUCCCCUCCAGGGGCAGUCGGAAUGGCUAUGGGCAUUUUCUAUCUGCAAUUUUUUUUCUUAAAAGUUCCCCCAAUUGUAUAUGCUUCAGGCCCCACAGAACCUAGCUCUGCUCCCGCUGUGCUCCACUCAAAGGGGGCCUCCCCUUCUACAUGUGCCACUGGUGGCUGCUCUUGUGGCCCCUGGAGCCAUGGCUCUUCCUUUCCGUCUCUGGGGUUUUCACUUUCAGAGGUUCUGCUCCUUUGGGGGGAGAGGGUCCUCUUUGGGAGUGGGAUGCAGGGACUCCUUUUUGGAAACAGCAGCUCCUACCAUUUAUUUUGCCAUCUUGGAAAACCCCUGCCAGGGUCAGGCCAUUCCCCCUUGGAGCUCAAGGAUCAGCUCUGCCCACUGCCCCCCUCUGGAAUGGUCGAUCUUUAUUUCCCUAGGGAAGUCAGGGAGAGGAUGUGUAGGAAUGGCCAGACCUUCUGAAAGACAAGAGUGGCCUCCUCCUCUCCUGUGGGAGAAGGUAUUCCAUGGAACCUAAGGAAGCAGAUCAACCACUACACCAGACUUUUUUUUUGCUUCCCGCCAGGAUGCAUGGACUAAAGGGGAGGGGGCUUCCUGGAAGAAGUGGCAUUUGAGCUAGGCUGUAAAGAAUGGACAGGUUUCUAUGGGGUGACAGGGUGGGGAAGUCAUGACUGAAAAGGGUCCAGAAGUACAGUUGCUUUGCAAACACAGUGUUAGAGUCAAAGAACAGAGGAAAGGCCAGCCAUGAAACAGCAGGCAUGGUGGACGUGGUUGUUUUUAUGCUCUUAGAUGAAGAAAGGUCAAAGCAAAGGUCUCUGAUAUUCUCUGAAGAGAGAACAUCCAGGUUGUUUUCCUCCCCAGAGCUGAGUAAACAGGAUUAUUGGAACCUGGGGUGGCCUUGGCAGGACACUGCUGCCCAGCUGGCCCCGGGAGAGAGGGCAGUGUGGAAAUGGCUGCGAUUAGGCACUGCCCUGGCCUCUGGACUCAUCUCCUAAGGAAACGCCUCUGUUGGGACAACCUGUCUCAGACACUUGGAAACUGUAUCUCAGAUCAGAAAAUACGCAUAGCCUUUGACCCAACAAUUCCACUUCUAGAAAUACAGUAAGGAGAAAUCGCUGCUGAUGUGUGUAAAGAUAUGCUGACAAAAAUGCAGUGCCAUGUAUAAUAGAGAAAAGUUGGAAGUAUCUAGCAAGGGGGGGUAAGUUAAGGAACUUUGAGUGUAUCUAUAUGAUGGAAAAAUAUUAGCGUGUGUGUAUAUAUAUAGAUGUAUGUAUGUGUGUGUGUGUGUGUGUGUGUGUGUGUGUGUAUGUAGAUUUAUUUAUGGUCACACCCAUGGCAUAUGGAAGUUCCCAGGCCAGGGACUGAAUCAAGGCCGCAGGUCUGACGUAUGCCCCUGCUUUAGAAAUGCCAGAUCUUUUAACCCACUGCACCAGCCUGGGGGUCAAACCCACACCUCUGCAGCGACCCAAGUCACUGCAGUUAGGUUCUUAGCCCACUGCACCACAGCAGGAACUCCUAGUCAAUAUUUAUUGAUAUGGAAUAUUUAGGAUAUUUUGCCAAAUGAAGGGCUGGCUAUAAUGCAGUGUGUACUGUCUGUUCUCAGUUAUGUAAUAUAUAUUAUGCUCACACUCACUGCAUAUUUCCUGUGUGCCAGGCAUGGCUCUAAGCACUUAAAAUAUAUUAAUACAUUUAAUUCUGCAACAAACCUAUGAAGAAGAUAUCUUAAUUAUCUAUACAUUGCACUUAAGGCCACCGAGACACAGAGUGUUUAAGUCAUCUAUCCAAAGUCACACAGUGGUCAGUGGCAGAACCUGGAGUGAACAAGCAGUUCUAGAGUCCACAGUGUGAACCACUAGGCUGCUGUGCUCUCUCUUCCUAUGUGUAUGUGUGUGUGUGUAGGUUUUUUUUUUUCUCUCUCUCUCUCAGAGUAUCUGCAACAAAAUAUUAGCUGUGUUUUAAGUAAUCCUCUCCUACAACAGUAACGGCAGCUAUUUCCAUGGUACAAGUGAUGAGUGUAGCUAUUUUGCAACUACUACUAUACUGCAGCUGGUGUUGGCCCUGGAGGACAUCCAGACCUUGACCAUGGAGACCACAACGUGUGCCUUUGUGGAUCCUCCACUGGCCAGACACAGCAUUUCCCCAAUUCACUGAUGCAGCAGAGAUGGAGCAUCUCUGUUCUGUGCAGGCCUGUUCUAGGUUCUGAGGAUUUGGCAGUGAACAAGGCAAGACACACAAGUCCAGUUCCCUUAUAAAAUAUGUUCUUGUUGGGGAGGCAAGGAGGUAAAUAAAUAGCUAAGAAAAACAGCAGCUUCAGCUCAGCAUUGUUGAGAACUGCAAUUACAAUGGUAUGAUCGGAACAUUAAAUGGUCAGGGAAGGUGACCUUUCAGAGGUGGCAUUUCAGCUGAGACUUGAAUGAUGCACACCUAUAUUUCUGUAUUUAAGUAUCUCUCUCUCUCUCUCUCGUGCAUUUCUACCUACCUACCUAAUUGGAGAAAGAGAGAGACUGGGAAAGAGAGAAAGGGGGUGGGGGGGGAGGAGGAAGCCAAUACAGUUGAAUGUUAAUAUUUGGGGAAUCUGAGUGAAGGAUACAUUAAAAUGUUUUGUACAAACAUUGCAACAUUUCUGCAAGUCAAAACUAUUUUAAAAUAAAAGGUUAAAAAUAUAUUAAAAGAAAUAUAUAAGAAAUAAAAAAUGAUCAUUCUACAGCCAAGGAAGUAGUUAGGAAGGCUUGCUGUUGAAUGUUACUUGGUGGGUGAGGAAAUCAAGGGGUGGGUGGUUGCUGGUGCCAUUGACUGAAGUUGGGUGAGGAUGAGGUUUGAGGAGCAGAAAUCAACAUUUUUUUUUGGGGGGGGUCCUGUUAACUUAAGAGGCCUUGUAGUCACUGUUCACAAACUACUGUAUAUUCAUUCUGUCACUGGGUCUUUCCUUGUAUGUCUAUUAGUUAGGAUUGGAAUAUUCCUCUUCUGCCAAUGAAGAAAUUGAGGCCAAGAGUAGGAAAUUGACUGCACAAGGUCUCAUGGUGAGUGGGUAGCAGUUAGGGGCCAAAGUCCCAUCUUCUAAAUCUACUAAACACAAUGCUUCUAAGGUUGACUCAUAAGAGACAUUCCACAUGUAUUUUCUGCUGCUUCUAAGAUGCACUGGCAUUGAACAGGCUGG